Molecule: non-coding RNA, 1200 nt
Organism: Vicugna pacos (alpaca)
Lineage: Eukaryota; Metazoa; Chordata; Mammalia; Artiodactyla; Camelidae
Source: RefSeq, a predicted model, not a curated record
CCACCCAGCAGAGGACCAAGCUUCACCCAGCAGUGGGAGGCGAGAAUUCUACUUCUGAACCACCAGUGCCCCCUUGGCUUCACCCAGCAGUGGGCAGGCACCAACGACUCCUGCCAGGAAGCCUGCACCAGCCUCUAGUCCAGCCUCACCCACCAGGGGGCAGAUACCAGAAGUAGGAAAACAAUCCCAAAUCCUGUGGAAGGAACCUGCUAACCGCAGGCCAGACUCUCCCCUGGGACUGGCUGGACCCUGGCCCUUGGGUGACGAGAGAGGAGCGCACUGCUGGGAUGUACAGGACGUUUCCCACUGAGGGCCACUACUCCAAGGUCGAGAAACGCACACUGUCACCUUCACCCCCGCCUGGGACCUCCUGGAGAACUUCCUGACCCUUUUUCCAGAUUCUAACCUGCUGCCCCUCGCUGCGGCCGCAGCAGCCCCAGUGGGUGCACUGAAGGUAGGGGCUGUAUGUGCUGGAAAGAUGAAAGUCAGUCACCCCAAGGCAGAGGUGUGUGGGGGCAGGGUCAAGACUGCGCUCUGAACCCAAGAAAAAAAUAUUGAUAAGUUGAACUUAAAAUUAAAAGCUUUGUGCUUUAAGAGACAACCACCAAGAAAGUGAAAAGAUAACCUACAGAGUGGAAGAGAGUAUUUGCAAAUCAUGUAUGUGAUAAAGGAUUGGUAUCCAGAGUAUAUGAAGAGCAUUUACCACUCAAUAAAAACAUGAGUAAGUCAGCUAAACAGCUGAGCAAAGGACUUGAAUAGACAUUUCUCUUGUUAUAUACCAAGAUAUACCAAGGAAAAUGACCACUAAGCACAUGAAAGGAUGUUCAGGGAAAUGCAAACCAACACCUCAGGGAGAUACCACUUCAUACCCACUAGCGUGGCCAUGAUUAAAAAAUACAGACAGCAACACGUGUUGGUGAGGAUGUGGAGAAACUAACCCUCAUAUGUUGAUGACAGGAAUGUCUAAUGGUGCAGCCACUUUGGAAAACAGCUCGUCAGUCCCUCAACAUUUCAGAUUAGUGGUGGCCAGGCUGGGGAGAGGGAAAACGGGGAGUGACCGCUAAUUGGGUACAGAGUUUCAUUUUGGGGUGAGGAAACUACUCUAAACUUAGAGAGUGGUGAUGGUGGCACAUUGUAUACCUGAAAGUGUGGAUUCUAGGAUAUGUGAAUUAUAGCUCAAUAAAACCGUUAUUUCAAGAA